CUGACUGAAGAGUUUGAUCCUGGCUCAGGAUGAACGCUAGCUACAGGCUUAACACAUGCAAGUCGCGGGGCAGCAUGGGGGCAGCAAUGCCCCUGAUGGCGACCGGCGCACGGGUGAGUAACGCGUAUCCAACCUGCCCGGCACCCCGGUAUAGCCUUCCGAAAGGAAGAUUAAUCCCGGAUGUUGCGGUGAUUCCGCAUGGAAUUACCGCUAAAGGCCAGCGGUGCCGGAUGGGGAUCCCUCCC
RNAcentral lists this ribosomal RNA (245 nucleotides) under uncultured bacterium. RNAcentral describes it as "partial 16S ribosomal RNA". It matches the Rfam family "Bacterial small subunit ribosomal RNA", at positions 1 to 239 of the family's 1533-position model. The record is from RNAcentral.